GAUUGGUGGGUGAGCCGGAACCAGCGAAAAAGGAGUCUGGUGCCUUGUCGUGGCUGUGACGUUCCCUCUGGCCGUCUGCUGCAUCGGUGCCCCCAACGUCCAGGAACUAAUCCCCGGUCCUAUGUGGUUUUGACCCUAAUUCACUGCUGGGAGAGAAAACCCUGUGGAGAAGAACGUGCACCGGUGUUGUGAGACGACCGUCUUUUAUAUACAUGCCCGCUCGCGGCUUUGGACCCCUACUCCGCCGAGUGGCGACGUGCCAACAAUAGCAAGUAAGGAACAGUGUGCAUAUUGUGGGGGACGACGACUGAGAGAAGUGAGGGCUGCUAUAUGAACAUCCAGCUGUGUAGCCCUUGUGUAUGAAUACCUGUUUGGGGAGUACUUUCAGAGGUUCGCCCCUGUCUAGAUCUCUGGUCCGUUGUUUGGAAGAGAGGAGAGGGAAGCGUUCGAGUCAUUCCUGAGGUACAUACCCGGUGGCAUAAGCCUACCUGAAGUCACUCAGCGUGGUGGCACCAGCUGAGGCCGUGGAAGGCCCAACGUGCAGCGACUUCAAUCUGUACUUCUAUCCACUCUUGGUCAAAUUCGAGAGGUGGUGUGUCUUUCUCCAUAUAUUCACUGAAGCUAAGUAAAUUUGUGAAGGAACUCUGUCUGUCUGUUACUAGUCCUACAGGUCUGAGCUUGAGGCUCUGAGUCGUCGUGGGAGUGUUUCCACGGUUGGAGGUGACCGUGUUGAGUGUUGGUCUGGGAAGUCUGCCCUGGUGAAGAAGACCACAGUUGUCGUGACAUAUACAUCUUCUCUAGACUCCCGAGCUGAAAAGGGCUAAAGCCUGACGUCCACCUCUUCGAGGGUCUGUGAGUUGUAUCCAUUCAGUAUUGUCAUUGUAUAUCCACCUGCAUGCCCAGAGCAAAGCUCCAGUUGCCCCUGUAUGCCCAUCUGUACGCCUCAAGCUAAGAGCCAGCGUAUUGCCCUUGUAUACUUACCUGUAUGCCUAAAGUCAAGCUCCAGUUGCCCCUGUAUGCCCAUCUGUACGCCUCAAGCUAAGAGCCAGCGUAUUGCCCUUGUAUACUUACCUGUAUGCCUAAAGUCAAGCUCCAGUUGCCCCUGUAUACCCAUCUGUACGCCUCAAGCUAAGAGCCAGCGUAUUGCCCUUGUAUACUUACCUGUAUACCCCUCUGUACGCCUCAAGCUAAGAGCCAGUGUAUUGCCCUUGUAUACUUACCUGUAUGCCCAAAGUCAAGCUCCAGUUGCCCCUGUAUACUCACCUGUACGUCCAAAGUAAAGACCCAGUUGUCCUUCUGCAUACUUACCUGUACGCCCCGAGUGAAAUACCAGUGCAUCGCCCUUGCAUAUAUUCACCUGCAUACUUACCUGUGGACCUUUUAGGUGUUUCCAACCGUGGACCCAGAAUCUCGUGGCGAACGGCGUCAGGUACGCACCUCACCCAAUUCAUCAGAAUUACUUACCUUCUUUACUCUGCGUGCAGGGACUGGAAGGGCCCCACUGACGGUUCUCCUGCAGGAGAAACACAAAGGCACUACUGAGAAAAACCCUGUUGAGUCACGUGAAGGAAAGGACACAAAUUACCUACAGGUUUACCUGAGAGUCCCCGUGACAGAGUCAGAAGCGACUCGGACCUAUACUCUCUGGCCCCAAGAGUGGAUUUUAGAUUCCCUUCUCCCUUCCCUGCACACCUUUUAAAUAAUUUAAAUAAAGUCUGUUUUAAUUACACUCCCUCUCUCUCGUGUGUCUGGUCAUUGGGGUGUUCUUGGGACCUCCUCGAGGUGGAAACUAGGGAGGGGCGAGACUCACGACAUCUGUGGUCCGCUCCGAUCUGUGACAAAAUAUUAGGAAAUUCAAAUAAAUUAUAUUUUGACAUGCUAUGAUUGUUAUCAUUUUAACAGGUUUCAUGCAAAACCCUCCGGAGUGUUAUGGAUCCGCCCAUAAAUUUACGUCACUGUACGACCAUUACAGUUAACACCAGUUUUUCGCGGUUUUCACCAUUUCGAGCACCUAGAAGGUAUGUGAGACAAAAAAUAUUAUUAUAAGUAUUAUUAGUAUUAUUUUGUAUUUUGUGUUUCAAGUUAAUCAAUUGAUUUAGUUUUCAUGGAUGUUUGCAUGAAAGACAAAUAGACUGACAAUUAGCAUGUUCAAAUUGUGCGAUAGAAAUAUUAGAAAAUUGCAGGUUACUACUGUAUGUUUAUUUCUUUCAUUUUGCUAAUUGAUGUCAUAACCAAGGAAAAGUAAACCUGCAGUCUUUUUUUAUGUUUAUAUUUUAAUUUCAGAUGGCAUUUAUGGAGCAGCUUGAUUCAGUGGCACUGUCCACUUUACAAGGUACACUUUAACGUAGCUUCCAAAAUUAGCUAUGUAACAGUUAACGUUACAUUACUUUGGAUUUAGUUAAGUAUUUAUAAAAAGUCUUAGGCAUGUUUGGUCUUCACCAAAAAUGCUUUAUUGACAAGCUGACACCGGCUUGGCUUUGUCUAAGCUCCACUAUGUGCUCAGCGGCUACAUCAACAAACAUCCUGAUGCUGCUCUUAUUAUCGUGGGGGA
Cyprinus carpio carpio is the source of this 2551-nucleotide long non-coding RNA. The record is from Ensembl. Lineage: Eukaryota; Metazoa; Chordata; Actinopteri; Cypriniformes; Cyprinidae.